CCUACGGGAGGCAGCAGUAAGGAAUAUUGGUCAAUGGGCGCAAGCCUGAACCAGCCAUGCCGCGUGCAGGAAGACGGCCCUAUGGGUUGUAAACUGCUUUUGAACAAGAGAAAACCUCGGUACGUGUACCGAGCUGAUAGUAUUGUUAGAAUAAGCAUCGGCUAACUUCGUGCCAGCAGCCGCGGUAAGACGAAGGAUGCAAGCGUUAUCCGGAUUCAUUGGGUUUAAAGGGUGCGUAGGCGGCCUGAUAAGUCAGUGGUGAAAUCUCUCAGCUUAACUGAGAAACUGCCAUUGAUACUGUCGGGCUUGAGUACAGAUGAUGUGGGCGGAAUAUGACAUGUAGUGGUGAAAUACUUAGAUAUGUCAUAGAACACCGAUUGCGAAGGCAGCUCACAAAACUGUAACUGACGCUGAGGCACGAAAGUGCGGGGAUCAAACAGGAUUAGAUACCCUGGUAGUCCGCACCGUAAACGAUGAUUACUCGUUGUUGGCAAUAUGACCGUCAGCGACCAAGCGAAAGCGAUAAGAAUCCCACCUGGGGAGUACGCCGGCAACGGUGAAACUCAAAGGAAUUGACGGCNGAGAGNGCGAGACGACACGAGGGAGGAGG
This 610-nucleotide ribosomal RNA is filed under the name uncultured bacterium. RNAcentral describes it as "bacterial SSU rRNA". It matches the Rfam family "Bacterial small subunit ribosomal RNA", at positions 338 to 951 of the family's 1533-position model. The record is from RNAcentral.